UGUUUUGGAAGUGUUCAUGUUGAAAUCGGAGCAAAAACAGAAUAUUUGGAAUUUUCUGUAAAGAAUGGGACUGAGAAAUUAGCAGAAAAUGCACAGUGUCAGAAAAUUAUGAAAAUUGGCAGAGAUGUUAGGAAUAUUUGUAUGAGGCUAGAUUUAAAGUUUCAGAUUAUUCUGACACCCGUAGAGAGAGAAAUUUGAUCCGAAAGCUAUCGGAUAAAGAUCGCAGUUCGGUACAGUUCGCAGUGACCAAACGGGGUCGAAACUGAAAUGUUAAAAUUUCUUUGG
Molecule: long non-coding RNA, 285 nt
Filed under: Ananas comosus (pineapple)
Lineage: Eukaryota; Viridiplantae; Streptophyta; Magnoliopsida; Poales; Bromeliaceae
Description: long non-coding RNA (ACOM_LNC005299)
Source: RNAcentral